Molecule: ribosomal RNA, 425 nt
Filed under: uncultured bacterium
Lineage: Bacteria
Description: partial 16S ribosomal RNA
Rfam family: Bacterial small subunit ribosomal RNA
Source: RNAcentral
GUGGGGAAUCUUGCGCAAUGGGCGAAAGCCUGACGCAGCCAUGCCGCGUGAAUGAUGAAGGUCUUAGGAUUGUAAAAUUCUUUCACCGGGGACGAUAAUGACGGUACCCGGAGAAGAAGCCCCGGCUAACUUCGUGCCAGCAGCCGCGGUAAUACGAAGGGGGCUAGCGUUGCUCGGAAUUACUGGGCGUAAAGGGCGCGUAGGCGGACAGUUUAGUCAGAGGUGAAAGCCCAGGGCUCAACCUUGGAAUUGCCUUUGAUGCUGACUGGCUUGAGUACUGGAGAGGUGAGUGGAACUCCGAGUGUAGAGGUGAAAUUCGUAGAUAUUCGGAAGAACACCAGUGGCGAAGGCGACUCACUGGCCCGUUACUGACGCUGAGGCGCGAAAGCGUGGGGAGCAAACAGGAUUAGAAACCCUUGUAGUCC